CAAGCGGCUGCUGAAAAGCGACCCGCUAGGCGGCUGCGCUGAGGGAGCGACAGGGCGGCGGCGGCGGGGGUGAGGUGCGAGGCGAAGCGCAGAGCGCGCAACUCUGGAGGAGCGGAUGUUAAGUCAGAGUACAACAGAAAAUGUCCACUGAACGAACUUCAUGGACAAACCUGUCCACUAUUCAGAAAAUAGCCCUGGGCCUAGGAAUUCCAGCAAGUGCAACAGUUGCCUACAUUCUGUAUCGUCGAUAUAGGGAAAGCAGAGAAGAGAGAUUGACAUUUGUUGGAGAAGAUGACAUUGAGAUAGAGAUGCGAGUCCCCCAGGAGGCUGUGAAGCUCAUCAUUGGUCGACAAGGAGCCAAUAUUAAACAGUUGCGGAAACAGACAGGCGCGCGGAUUGAUGUGGACACAGAGGAUGUAGGCGAUGAGCGAGUGCUGCUUAUCAGUGGGUUUCCUGUUCAGGGAGAGGCGGUGAGACGAUUCGUUCUAUCUGUAAGGCUUCUGGAGCCAAAAUCACUUGCGACAAAGAAUCAGAGGGAACGUUACUACUCUCACGACUUAUAAAAAUCUCAGGAACACAGAAGGAAGUGGCAGCAGCUAAGCAUCUGAUACUGGAGAAAGUUUCAGAAGAUGAAGAACUUCGGAAGAGAAUUGCCCAUUCUGCAGAAACCAGAGUCCCACGAAAGCAGCCAAUCAGUGUGAGAAGAGAGGAAGUGACAGAGCCUGGUGGAGCUGGAGAAGCAGCUUUAUGGAAAAAUACCAAUUCUAGCAUGGGACCAGCUACACCCCUGGAAGUUCCUCUCCGCAAAGGAGGUGGUGAUAUGGUUGUUGUAGGACCAAAAGAAGGUUCCUGGGAGAAACCUAAUGAUGACAGCUUUCAGAAUUCUGGUGCCCAGAGCAGUCCAGAGACGUCCAUGUUUGAAAUUCCCAGUCCUGACUUCAGUUUCCAUGCUGAUGAGUACCUAGAAGUCUACGUUUCUGCUUCUGAACACCCUAAUCACUUCUGGAUCCAAAUCAUUGGUUCCCGCAGCCUGCAGUUGGAUAAACUUGUCAGUGAGAUGACCCAGCACUAUGAGAAUAGUCUGCCUGAAGACUUGACUGUGCAUGUAGGAGACAUUGUAGCAGCACCUUUAUCUACAAAUGGUUCCUGGUAUCGAGCCCGGGUUCUUGGAACCUUGGAAAAUGGAAACUUGGACCUCUACUUUGUUGACUUUGGAGAUAAUGGAGAUUGUGCACUAAAGGAUCUCAGGGCUCUCAGGAGUGACUUUCUAAGCCUCCCAUUUCAAGCAAUAGAAUGCAGUCUGGCACGGAUUGCCCCCACAGGUGAAGAGUGGGAAGAGGAAGCUCUAGAUGAGUUUGACAGACUCACUCACUGUGCUGACUGGAAGCCCCUGGUGGCCAAGAUUUCUAGCUAUGUCCAGACUGGAAUCUCAACUUGGCCAAAGAUCUAUUUGUAUGAUACCAGUGAUGAGAAGAAACUUGAUAUUGGGCUAGAAUUAGUUCGUAAAGGGUAUGCAGUUGAACUUCCUGAAGACAUGGAAGAAAACAGAACUGUCCCAAAUAUGUUGAAGGACAUGGCCACAGAAACAGAUGAUUCUCUUGCAAGCAUACUCACUGAAACAAAAAAGAGCCCUGAAGAGAUGCCACAUACCCUGUCCUGCCUCAGCUUGUCAGAAGCUGCCUCUAUGUCUGGUGAUGAUAACCUUGAAGACGACUUAUUCUGAAAUCUGGGCUUCAGCUGCUGGAUCAGCCAUCUGCUUUGCUGUGUGAGUGGUGCUGUCAUCUAUCUGUAGCAACAGGAAAGUAACAGGGAUGACAAGACCCUCUUCCCUGUGCUCCUACGUGUGUACAUUUCUCUGUGGCAUCUUUGAUGCAGCUUAACUUGCUCUAGAGUCCAAACUUUUAAGUUUCUUGUGUCUGUGUCUUUGGCAGGAUGUGGUGCCGAGAGAGGAGUCUAUGAUAGAGAGAUCCAUGAAGUCCUUUACUUCACAUGGUGUGGCUUGCUGUGAAUCAAAUCCAUUUUUUGUUUCAUUGGAUCUACCAGAAAGUAACAGACGGAGGCAAAUGGAGACAGAUUUCUCCACUCCACUCCUCUGGUUCCUCCCCUAUCUUUCAAUGUUUGAAUGCUGUAUAAUUCCCAGCCUCUCCAUAUCAGGUUCAGUUCCCUCUGCCAGUAAUAUUUUGCAUUACUGCUGGGCUAUGUUUUUGAGGCUGAGAAACAGCCAAGGUUUGGGCAUUGGAAGUGAUGAUUCUGCAGAUUUCUGACUCGACUUAUCAGGUGACUGUAGUUAUAGGAAGUAUUUGGUGGACUCAGAAGACUGCAGUUAUCAGGAGAUAAGGCAAAAUCAGCAUAACUAUAUUUAAAAGCCUCAUAAAAGGGGAAGAGUGUACUACCUCUCACCCACAGUUGCCGAGGUUAUUGGAGAUGGGUCCUCCAGCUAUUUCUUUGUGAACUUCAGUUAAAAUACAACUAGAAGGGAGAAGUAUCUUAGGAAAUGUGUAAACGUGUUACAAAUAUGUGUCUGUAUACACACAACUAGAGAGAAAGAAUGAAUAUAUAUAGUUCUGCUUAAAUAAUUUGGGGAAUGUUUGCUAAUAAAGUUCUCAAAAAUUAUCUAAAAACACAUACUCAGUCACAACGUGGGAGUAGGCCUGUGGGUAAAGUCUCUUCUGAGUAAGCCUUGGUAGUAAUUGCCAGCACCUCACAUACGGAAGCAUCUUGAGACAAAUGUCCUUCCCAUACAAGUAUUCACACUCUUCCCGUAAAGUCACUGCAGAAGUCCACUACUCCCUCAGAACCAUAACCAGUUUUAGCUAUAUACACAAACCUACUUACACUGUAAGAGAAGGCCUGUACUAGGGUUCUAGAAGUAGGUCUUCACUAUAAACUUACUUUACUUCUAGUGUCUUUUCAUUACUGACAGUAGUGCAAGACACCACUGAGACUUGUGACAGUACUUAGAAUUAAAUACAAAAUGCAUAGUGAUUUAACGAACUUUAGGAAACAAGGCAAGGUGAACUGGGAAAUCUAAACUGAACACAUGGAUGCCUUAUAUAGGCUUCUCUAAACUCUAGUAUUAGUAGCCAUGCCUGGUGUCCCAGACCUAUACCCAGCCUUUGAGGCUAGUGAGAGAGAGUGAAAGUUAAAGGCCAUGCCUAAGCAACUUAGUAAGAUGCUAUCUCAAAAAGAGGCUAGGGGUGUAGCUGAGUGGUAUAGUGUAGCACUUGUGUCAUUUGCAGCAUGCCAAGUUAGCAGAAAGACAUCAAGGAAGGAGCAGUUUGAGCAUCUCUUUACUCUAGAGAAACCUAGACAGGCCCCUAUUAAUGUUCCAGGUUCUGACUGUAGUGAACCAUUUAAGUGUGUUCAGCCAGGCAUUGGAGUUACUACACAACAGACUCUGGAGGCCAUUUUGUCUCUAGUUUCCUCGGUGCUCUUUUCCCUCAGUUAGAGGUCAUAAGACCUGUAGUUAAUUGUGUAAAAAGCCUAUUUAAACCAAUUGUGUGGGACUGGAAAGAUGCUCAAAGGUUAAGAACACUGACUGCUCUUGUAGAAAACCCAGGUUCAAUUCUCACCACCCACAUGGUGACUCACAACCAUCUUUUAAUUCUAGUUCUAGGGGACCUAGUUCUCUCUUCUAACUUCUAACCAGGUAUGCAUAUGGUAUACAUAUAUACAUGUAGGCAAAACAUUCAUCUACAUGUCUAAAAUUUGAGAAUAAAAUUUUGAAAUAAAAUAUGGUACAUACCUAUUCUCAGCACUUGAGAGGUUUAAGUGGAAGAAUUAACUUGAGGUCUGUCACUGCUACGCAGUGUAUUUGAGGAUCGCCUGGGCUACAUGACACCCUGUUCCCCUCUCCAAAUCCCUAUUUUUUUCAUGUGCUCAUUAUUUCUUGUCAGUUUAUACCUCAUCCUAUGCUGCUUCUGCCAUUUUUCCAGCACUUGCUCUUGUCUGGUUGUCUGAAAUGCUCUCGUUACCUUAUAAUUCUUUCCCUUAAGAUGUACGUACUUCCUCUGGUUUCCUCCACAUCAAAGAGAAGGAAUUGGUAUAUGUUUCCAGUUUGAAUUGAAAUACAUAAAUGCAUUCUAGCAAGGCUUAGUCUGAUUUUUCUAGUUGACUAGUGUUUUGUUUUGUUUUGUUUUGUUUUGUUUUGUUUUUCGAGACAGGGUUUCUCUGUAUAGCCCUGCUGGCUGUCCUGGAACUCACUUUGUAGAACAGGCUGGCCUCAAACUCAGAAAUCCGCCUGCCUCUGCCUCCCAAGUGCUGGGAUUAAAGGUGUAUGGCCACCACCGCCCAGCUCUAGUUGACUAGUAAUUUAUUAUGGCAGAUGCUCAGUAAAUGGGAAUGAAAAAAUGGUUUAGGAAUAAGGAGAAGGCCAAGGGAGCCCUCCCACAUCUGACUCAUGUUCCUCUGGUUUUCUUAGUUCUUAUGUCAUACAGUGAAUUUAUCUGUGUAAGAGUUAUAUUCCUCCAACAGUCCCUCCCACCAAGAAACAGCAAACGCUUUGAUUGCACUACCCUUUAUUUCCUAGGAUGGAAGUAUCUUAAAUCACAUCCUGGGCCUCAGAGUCCCGUGUGUUGAGGUUUCCAACCCCUCACAGAGAUGGAACAUGUUUAGGGAGGCUCACUGGCCAGGGUGGCCAAGGUCCCUUUCAAGGGGAUACACCAUGAAGAUGACAUUGUCCCAGGGAGGGAGGGCAGGAUGAUCUGGUCUAACCACCUCGAAGCCCAUGUAGCUAAAGGCUCGCAGCAGGGCACCUGUAGAAGAACAGAACAAAUGAUUAGAAUAGCCACUGAAGCUCAGCCCAUAUACUCCUCAUACAUGUUUUCUCAAGAGAGUGACUAGCAAGCAGGGUAGUGCAGGCGUAGGGUGUGCUUUGGAGUGAUAGACACGGGCUCUACCCUGCAUUUAUUAUUCAUUUUAAAUUCUAGUUAACCUUUCAGAUCUCCAGUUUACUCAUUUGCAAAGUGAGAAUGAGAACCUUCCUCACAGAUUUAAGAUGUGAUUAUUCAAGGAUGUAGUACAGUUAAGCAGCAUCUGGGCUUGGGGGAUAUUGUUUUGGUUGGUUGGUUGGGGGCUUGGGUAUUGUUUUGAUUGGUUGGUUGGGGGCUUGGGGGGUAUUGUUUUGGUUGGUUGGGUUUGUUUUUGUUGUUGGCUUUGCUUUUUUCAGUUUUGGUUUUGGUUUGAGAUGAGAUCUCACUAUGAAGCCAAUCUGACCUUGAGUGCAGAAUUCUUCUGCCUUAGCUUUUCAAAUGCUGGGAUCACAGGUUUGUACCAUAAUAUCCAGCUCAUUUUGUCUUAUAUCCAGCAGAAUAUAAACUCUUUGAGAGAUGAGCAAUAACAGACUACACCUGGUUAAAUAUAUUCCUGUCCUUCUAGCCCUACUACUGUGAGAGCUUGAUACAUUUGCUUGACAUUCUUUGUCAAUCCAUCAUAUCCCUUGAAUGGAUUCUGUAAUUUCUUCCAUGCUUCUUAUUCAUCCAAUUGUAAUGGUACUGAAUAUAAUGUUGUGUGCCUUAACUUCCUUUGCAACAGAAGUGGGGACAGGGUACUGAAGUGCCAGAGGGAAGAGGGACACACCUCUGUCCUUCCGAUCGAUUUGGAAGUUCACAAACACAGAGUCCACAUUGGUUUUCUCCUCCACAUACUCCAGUGUUGCUGUCAAGCUAGAGGCCAGAGAAAAAGUUAAUACUUAACUCAAAAUCCAGACAGACAGAAGAGGAGAAAUACUGGCAAGUGUUUGCUCUCUACCUACUGAAACUGGAAAAUAAAAAGUUGCUAAAGGAGUUUGGGAGCUUUUCUCUGAAGCAAGGGAUUCCACCUGAUUGAUGUGAGUGUCACAGAAGGUUCGUGGAGGAAAGGACUGCUUAAGAGCUAGAAAGUAUUCAACUUUUUUGAAUCCUUACUUUGGUGUUCCUGAGUCUAAGUCCAGCAACUGACCCUCAACUUAAAAUUAUUCCUUGAACUGCAA
Molecule: RNA transcript, 5968 nt
Organism: Mus musculus (house mouse)
Lineage: Eukaryota; Metazoa; Chordata; Mammalia; Rodentia; Muridae
Gene: Tdrkh
Gene name: tudor and KH domain containing protein
Exons: 13
Source: RefSeq, marked validated